This 253-nucleotide ribosomal RNA is filed under the name uncultured bacterium. RNAcentral's name for it is "partial 16S ribosomal RNA". It matches the Rfam family "Bacterial small subunit ribosomal RNA", at positions 524 to 776 of the family's 1533-position model. The record is from RNAcentral.
UACGUAGGCAGCAAGCGUUGUUCGGAGUUACUGGGCGUAAAGGGUGUGUAGGCGGCCUGUUAAGUUCCGUGUGAAAUCUCCCGGCUCAACCGGGAGGGUGCGCGGAAAACUGGCGGGCUAGAGUACGGGAUGGGAGAGUAGAAUUCCUGGUGUAGCGGUGAAAUGCGUAGAUAUCAGGAGGAAUACCGGUGGUGUAGACGGCUCUCUGGACCGUAACUGACGCUGAGACACGAAAGCGUGGGUAGCAAACAGG